UGUCCAUUUCCUAUACCUUUCAGGUUUUUCACUUAGCUUCCAUUAGCUCCAACAUCAGCCAGGAACACACUACCAGAAUCACACCAUCCGCCUAGUAAAUCCCUAUUUGAAUUUGAGCACUUACUGAACCCAAGCCAGUUUGAGUCUCCUCUAAACGAAAAUGCUUUAUUGCUCUCUUUCCAUUGGCCACAAAAAACCUCAUAAUCAACCCCUUGAAUAUAGAUAUAAUCAGAGUCCAGUGAUGAGAAUGCAAGUCCAGUUAUCUCAUAUUUUGAACAGUGCACCCAUCUUGCUAGUGGCGACCAUCUCCGAGGAUCAUAAAUAGUCACAGUGCGAUCAGCUCCACCCACAGCUAUAUUACCAGUUGAUGAACUGCAG
Molecule: unclassified non-coding RNA, 378 nt
Filed under: Hevea brasiliensis (rubber tree)
Lineage: Eukaryota; Viridiplantae; Streptophyta; Magnoliopsida; Malpighiales; Euphorbiaceae
Source: RNAcentral